CAUGCGGUGGACACUUGCUUGUUGCUUUAGGGGGGUGUUUUUUUGGGGCAACCCGAGGACACCACCCGGCGGCAGGGGAAAGGCCACUGCGGGCGGGGCCCAUUUAUAUUUCUCGAAGACGUCACGGGCCCUUAACUGGUGUACUGUGGUCGCGGAUUCGAGACGUUUACUUUGAAAAAAUUAGAGUGUUCAAAGCAGGCAAUCAAAAACGCUUGAAUACAUUAGCAUGGAAUAAUGGAAUAGGACUUUGGUCUUAUUUUGUUGGUUUCUAGGAGUGAAGUAAUGAUUAAUAGGGACAGUUGGGGGCAUUCGUAUUUAAUUGUCAGAGGUGAAAUUCUUGGAUUUAUGAAAGACGAACUUCUGCGAAAGCAUUUGCCAAGGAUGUUUUCAUUAAUCAAGAACGAAAGUUAGGGGAUCGAAGACGAUUAGAUACCGUCGUAGCCCUAACCAUAAACUAUGCCGACUAGGGAUCAGUGGGGAACAAAUCAAAAAACUCCAUUGGCACCUUAUGAGAAGUCAAAGUUUUUGGGUUCUGGGGAAAGUACCAACGCAAGUUGGAAACUUAAAGGAAUUGACGGAAGGGCACACCAGGCGUGGAAUCUGCGGCUUAAUUUGACCCAACACGGGGAAACUCACCAGGUCCAGACAAAAUAAGGAUUGACAGAUUGAGAGCUCUUUCUUGAUUUUUUGGGCAGUGGUGCAUGGCCGUUCUUAGUUGGUGGAGCGAUCUGUCUGGUUAAUUCCGAUAACGAACGAGACCUUAACCUGCUAAAUAGCGACGUCAUUCCUUGUGAAGGACGGAUUUUGACUUCUUAGAGGGACUAUCGGUGACUAACCGAUGGAAGUUUGAGGCAAUAACAGGUCUGUGAUGCCCUUAGAUGUUCUGGGUCGCACGCGCGUUACACUGACAGAGGCAGCGAGUUUUUUUAAAUAUCCUGGCCUGGAAAGGUUUGGGUAAUCUUGUGAAUCUCUGUCGUGAUGGGGAUAGAUCUUUGUAAUUAUCGAUCUUCAACGAGGAAUGCCUUGUAAUCGCGGUUCAUCAAAUCGCGUUGACUACGUCCCUGCCCUUUGUACACACCGCCCGUCGCUACUACCGAUUGAAUGGUUUAGUGAGGUCUCGGGACUGGCGCGGCUUGGCUGUAAAAGGCCGAUCCAUGCUGGGAACUUGCCCAAACUUGAUCAUUUAGAGGAAGUAAAAGUC
This 1201-nucleotide ribosomal RNA is filed under the name metagenome. RNAcentral describes it as "SSU rRNA". It matches the Rfam family "Eukaryotic small subunit ribosomal RNA", at positions 683 to 1790 of the family's 1831-position model. The record is from RNAcentral.